This 298-nucleotide unclassified non-coding RNA is filed under the name uncultured fungus. RNAcentral describes it as "partial contains 5.8S ribosomal RNA, internal transcribed spacer 2, and large subunit ribosomal RNA". The stretch from base 1 to 52 matches the Rfam family "5.8S ribosomal RNA", at positions 103 to 154 of the family's 154-position model. The record is from RNAcentral. Lineage: Eukaryota; Fungi.
AACGCACCUUGCACCCUUUGGUAUUCCGAAGGGUAUGCCUGUUUGAGUGUCAUUAAAUUAUCAAAACAUAAGUAAUGUUGUGUUUUGGAUCUGAGGGAUUUUGUUGGCUCAAUUGAGUUGGCUCCCUUUAAAUGCAUGAGUGGCUUGUUGAUCCCCAUUGAUUGGUGUGAUAGUUUAUCUACAUCAUGUAAAAUGGCUAGGUCAUGUAAAGAUAAGCUGCUAUCUAAUUAGUCUUGUGUAAAAGACAGCUUGUAAUUAAUUUGACCUCAAAUCAGGUAGGAUUACCCGCUGAACUUAA